CCUACGGGGGGCUGCAGUGGGGAAUAUUGGACAAUGGGCGCAAGCCUGAUCCAGCAAUGCCGCGUGUGUGAAGAAGGCCUGCGGGUUGUAAAGCACUUUAAGCAGGAAAGAAGGGGUGGAAGUUAAUACCUUUCACCAUUGACGUUACCUGCAGAAUAAGCACCGGCUAACUCCGUGCCAGCAGCCGCGGUAAUACGGAGGGUGCAUGCGUUAAGCGGAAUUACUGGGCGCAAUUCGCGCGGUCGCGGGUGAAAGCCCCGGGCUUAACCUGGGAACUGCGGUGGUUACUGUCGGGCUGGAGUGUGGUAGAGGGGAGUGGAAUUUCCGGUGUAGCAGUGAAAUGCGUAGAGAUCGGAAGGAACACCAGUGGCGAAGGCGGCUCCCUGGACUAACACUGACGCUGAGGUGCGAAAGCGUGGGGAGCAAACAGGAUUAGAUACCCUUGUAGUC
RNAcentral lists this ribosomal RNA (450 nucleotides) under uncultured bacterium. RNAcentral's name for it is "partial 16S ribosomal RNA". It matches the Rfam family "Bacterial small subunit ribosomal RNA", at positions 338 to 795 of the family's 1533-position model. The record is from RNAcentral.